RNAcentral lists this ribosomal RNA (497 nucleotides) under uncultured bacterium. Its description in RNAcentral is "partial 16S ribosomal RNA". It matches the Rfam family "Bacterial small subunit ribosomal RNA", at positions 28 to 507 of the family's 1533-position model. The record is from RNAcentral.
GAUGAACGCUGGCGGCGUGCCUAAUACAUGCAAGUCGAGCGAACAGACGAGUUUCUUGCUCCUCUGACGUUAGCGGCGGACGGGUGAGUAACACUUGGAUAACCUACCUAUAAGACUGGGAUAACUUCUGGACACCGGAGCUAAUACCGGAUAAUAUAUUGAACCGCAUGGUUCAAUAGUGAAAGACUGUUUUGCUGUCACUUAUAUAUGUAUCCGCGCCGCAUUAGCUAGUUGGUAAGGUAACGGCUUACCAAGGCAACGAUGCGUAGCCGACCUGAGAGGGUGAUAGGACACGCUGGAAGUGAAAGAAGGGCCAGACUCCGACGGGAGGAAGCAGUAGGGAAGCUUGCGAGAUAGGAGAAAGGAUGACGGAGCAACGCGGCAUGGGUGAUGAAGGUAAUGGGAUCGGAAAACACAGUUAUUAGGGAAGAACAAAUGUGUAAGUAACAAUGCAAGUAUUGACGGUACCUAAGCAGAAAGCAACGGCUAACUACGUG